This 467-nucleotide ribosomal RNA is filed under the name uncultured bacterium. RNAcentral's name for it is "bacterial SSU rRNA". It matches the Rfam family "Bacterial small subunit ribosomal RNA", at positions 28 to 490 of the family's 1533-position model. The record is from RNAcentral.
GAUGAACGCUAGCGGCAGGCUUAACACAUGCAAGUCGAGGGGCAGCACGGGUAGCAAUACCUGGUGGCGACCGGCGCAAGGGUGCGUAACGCGUGAGCAACAUGCCCUAUACAGGGGGAUAAUCCAGGGAAACUUGGUCUAAUAUCCCAUAGUAUUUAGAGGAGGCAUCUUCUAUAAAUUAAAGCUUCGGUGGUAUAGGAUUGGCUCGCGUGACAUUAGCUAGAUGGUGAGGUAACGGCUCACCAUGGCAAUGAUGUCUAGGAGUUCUGAGAGGAAGGCCCCCCACACUGGGACUGAGACACGGCCCAGACUCCUACGGGAGGCAGCAGUGAGGAAUAUUGGACAAUGGAUGGAAAUCUGAUCCAGCCAUGCCGCGUGCAGGAAGACAGCCCUAUGGGUUGUAAACUGCUUUUAUAUGGGAGCAAUAAGGUCUACGUGUAGACUGAUGAGAGUACCAUAUGAAUAAG